This 333-nucleotide long non-coding RNA is filed under the name Vitis vinifera (wine grape). RNAcentral describes it as "long non-coding RNA (VVIN_LNC008266)". The record is from RNAcentral. Lineage: Eukaryota; Viridiplantae; Streptophyta; Magnoliopsida; Vitales; Vitaceae.
CCGCAUGAACCUCUCGCAUCACUCUAUCGGCAGAAGCGCGGUCCAAACAUAAUAGCAGCAUCCCAUCAGGUGAUCGUCUAUAUAGUGUCUCGCCACAGAUCACGAAUCGGGUGGCCAACUGUCUCAAUGCUCUCCUAUCCUUGGCCGUGGCGGCCUCAGGAUAUACGCCGAGUCUCAAAAAGUGAUAUAUGUCAUGAUACCAUGGCAAACCAUCAUCUGGCUCUGCAUCAUCGAUCAAGCAACAGUAAGCAGGAGCAGAUCUCGACUCGAUCAACAAAGGUCGAACAGUGGCGUCAACGGGAAUGUCGAUCAUGGAAGCUAGAGUAGCUAAAG